RNAcentral lists this long non-coding RNA (3575 nucleotides) under Piliocolobus tephrosceles (Ugandan red Colobus). Its description in RNAcentral is "lncRNA (ENSPTEG00000014204.1)". The record is from RNAcentral. Lineage: Eukaryota; Metazoa; Chordata; Mammalia; Primates; Cercopithecidae.
AAUAAAGUGAAGUUUUUAAUUUUGUAAAAAAAGUAAUAUUGUUAUGCAUCAAAUAAUACAAUAUAUUUUUAUAUAUCUACACGUUAAGUAUUUAUAAACUCAUAACAUUAUAUAUAUGUGCGCACUAUUGUUAUAUGCUUUUUGAAACCUAUGGUCGCUUAUAAUAAAAAUACACGUAGAGUAAGUCAUAUUUUUCUUUUUUUUUUUUUUCUGACUAAUAUGCCCAUUUUUUGCUGAAGCAAUUAAUAUUACUUUUAUCGCAUUUUAUUUGUAUUCGCAUUAUUUAUUUAUUUUUUUUUUAAGUAAUGUUAAAAAGUAAACGCAAAAAAGAUAUCAGCGAUGAUGAUUUUGUAAGCGAGAAACAAAAUACCCAUGGAGGUAAUAAACAUAUGUUAACUCUCGAAUCUAGUCAUAUUGUGAAAUCUAUUGACAAAGAUGUAAAGAAGAAAAUAGAAGAAGGUAAAAUUUUUUUAAGUGAUAUAAGUCCUUUAAAAAAUGCAGAAAUUGAAGAAGCUUUUUUAAAAAGUUUGUAUAAGAGACCUGAAUAUUAUGAUAAUAUUAAUAGUGGUAGUAGUAGUCGUAAUAUUAGUAGCGAUUAUAACGUUAAUAGACAUAUAACUACUAAUACUGAUAAUGUUUCAUAUAAAAAAUUGAAUAAGAAGAAAACAACUGAUACUAAUGUUCUUAUGAAUAUAAAAGAAAAUUAUAAGAAACUUGGGUAUUACAAUUCUUUUGCAAAUAUAAACGAAUGUGAUAAAAAAGGUAGUAACAAUAGCAGUAGAUGUAGUAGUAAAAACGUGUUAAAAAAGGCGAAUAAAAAGGUUGUAACAAGGGGAGGUAAUAACAAUAACAAAAAUAAAAACAUUUACGAUAUUAUUAAUUGGAAGAAAUAUCGAAAAAAUGAUGAGCAAAAUGAUGAGCAAAAUGAUGAGCAAAAUGAUGAGCAAAAUGAUGAACAAAAUGAUGAACAAAAUGAUGAACAAAAUGAUGANNNNNNNNNNGAUGAACAAAAUGAUGAACAAAAUGAUGAACAAAAUGAUGAACAAAACGAUACACAGAACGACGAAUGUAAAAAAAAAUACGAAAUAGCAUCAUCAUCUCCUACAGCAUCCACAGCUUCUCCUUUAUUGUAUUAUAAUAAAAUAAUAAAUACAUUAGUAAAAGGUAAGAACGCGGGGAAUUUUUUAGAUAAAUGCUCUGUUACUUCUAAAGAGUUUACCAACACUUUAGAAAAAGAAACAACUACAUAUAUAAAAUCGAGAGAAAACAAAAUACAAAAAAAAAGAUUAAAUGCGAAUUUAGAAGCAUUACGCUUACAAUAUAUACCAAUAAACAAUAAUAAGUUUAUUAACUUACCAAGAGAAGUAAAAGAAAAUAUUUUGGCUUUAUUUGCAUGUAUUGUUAUUAAACAUAUUGAUUCUAUAGAUGAUGUAGAUGUACAAAAUCAUUUAGAUAAAAUUUCUAUAAAUUUUUUAAAACAGCUAUCUGAUUUAUUAGUUAUAGAUCCAUUAGCAUACCAAUGUAUAGUCAAACCUUUAGAACAGAGACAAAUGUUAAGCGACAUAACAGGUGACCGUAAAAUUUACAAACUAAGUGAAAAACCAUUUAUCGACAAUUUAAUAGAACAGAUUAAACCGUUGCAAAUAGAAGUUGAUAAAAAAUUUAAAAAAGUAGUUGAAGAAUUACAUAAUGAAAUAGAUUUUUGGCAAAAUGAUCACAUUGAUGACCAUAAUGAGACAUUGAAUUCGCAUAUGGGGAGUUUCGAUGAUAAUUUUGAGGAAUAUACGGAUUGUGAGGUUGGUGGUGAAGUUGGUGGUGCAGUUGGUGGUGAAGUUGAUGGUGAAGUUGGUGGUGAAGUUGAUGGUGAAAGUAGUAAUGAGAGUGACAGCGAUAGUGGUGGCGAACGUAGCGAGGAUAACUUACAUACUGAGCUAAAUACAACGGGAAAAAAAAAAAAUAAAAAAAAAAAAACAGUUGUUAACAAUAAUAGUAGUACUUGUUUAGGUGAACAGAAUAAAUUUGAAAAUGGGAACGAAAAAAAUGAACAGUAUUAUAAGUUAAAAAAAAAAAAAAAAAAAAAAAAAAAAAAAAAAUCGAAUUUUCCUUAUGAUGAUAAUAAGAAUAAUGAGCAUAAACCAAAAAAUUCAUCUUUUUAUACAUAUGUGCAAAGAGAAAUUGAUGAAACAUAUAAUGCGGAAGCAAUAAAUGAUUAUUUUUCAUUUACAUCAAACAAAAGUAAACAUCAUUGUUCUGAAAAUAUAGAACAACAGAAAGUUAUUACAAAAGUAGACCAAAAAAACAAAAACAAAAUAGAGUUAAAAAAUGUUAAAGAUGAUAAUAAUUUAAAAAAUGAAGAAGUGUAUAAAUGUUUAAGUCUACAAGGCGAUUCAAAUGGUAUUACAUCGUUUGUAGAUGUGAACCAAUUUAAUAAUAGUGUUACUAGAGAUAGUGGUAAUAAUAGAUGUAUUAAUUAUGUUGAACAUGAUAAUAAGGAUAAGGAAAAAUAUAGAUCAGGUAGUUCGAAUCGGGUAGGUCUUGAUAGUGGUAGUAGUGGUAGUAGUUGUAGUGGUAUUAGUGGUAGUAGUGGUAGUAGUGGUAGUGGUAGUAGUGAUAGUAGUAGUAGUGGUGGUAGAAGUUCGGUAGGUCCAAAUCCCAGUCCGUCAUCAUCUAUUACAUUGUCGUUUAACAAGAAGAAACCAUCUGAAUUGUUAAACAAAAUGGAAGUAAAAAAUGAUAAAGACCAUACAAAUAAUAUAAGCAAUAGCAUUAGUGACAAUUUUUUAUGUAUGAACAAAAAGGAUAAGGAUAUAAUGGAUUUUCAAUAUGCUGAAAGCAACAUUAGUUGUAGUGGACUUACUUUUGAAAAAGAACAGAAACGAAAUGUUUUUACUGAUGAUUUGGAGCCACAAAAUGAUUCUACUACUACUAAUGUAGGUAGUUAUUACAGUAGUAAUAGAAGGUAUGACAAGAUUGAUAGAUGUGAUAUGGAGAGGGAAGUAAAUGAGAUUGGGAAUAGAGAUGGUCCAAGAUUUAGCCCAACAUAUAGCUCAGCGCGUAAUCCUAUACAUAGUCCAACAUAUAGCGAAAUAAAUGAAGGUAUAAAUGAAGGUAUAAGUGGAGGUAUAAAUGAAGGUAUAAAUGAACUGAAAGAUGAGCUACGAAAUGAGAAAAAAAGCUUAAAAUAUAAAAUAAGAAAGAGUUUGAAAGAUUCAUCUGAUUAUACAAGUAGUGAUAGUAGUAGUUAUGAUGAAAGUGAUGCGGAUAAAUACUUAAAACAUGGAGUACCAAUAAAAGGACCAGAUAUAAAAUCAGUUAUACUAAGAGACUUAAUAACAAGUUAUAUAAUGACAGGUAAUAACAAUGCAAGAAUUCAAUUAUAUUUUCGAAAUUUUGCUAAAUGUUUAAAAAUGAAUGAAUUAUUAAUAUUAACAAUAGAAGAAAAUUUAGCUGCUGAUUUAAUUAAUGCUUUACAAGCUUCUAUUAAUGAAACAUCAAAAAAAAAGAAUAUAAGACGAGUAAAGAUAGCAGCUGCUGCUUUAGGUGGUGGCGCAUUAUUAGCUUUUACUGCUGGUUUA